UACGUAGGGACCGAGCGUUGUCCGGAUUCAUUGGGCGUAAAGAGCUCGUAGGCGGCCACUCAAGUCGAAUGUGAAACCUCGAGGCUCAACCUCGAGCCUGCAUUCGAUACUGGGCGGCUAGAGUCUGGUAGGGGGAUCUGGAAUUCCUGGUGUAGCGGUGGAAUGCGCAGAUAUCAGGAUGAACACCGGUGGCGAAGGCGGGAUCCUGGGCCAGUACUGACGCUGAGGCGCGAAAGCGUGGGGAGCAAACAGG
This 253-nucleotide ribosomal RNA is filed under the name uncultured bacterium. RNAcentral's name for it is "partial 16S ribosomal RNA". It matches the Rfam family "Bacterial small subunit ribosomal RNA", at positions 524 to 776 of the family's 1533-position model. The record is from RNAcentral.